UAUAGUUGAUUUACAAUGUUGUGCUAAUUUCUACUGUACAGCAAAUUGACAUAUAUAUAUAUAUUCAUUUUUUAAAAUAUUAUUUUCCAUCAUGUUCUAUCCUAGGCAGUUCAAACCUUGCUGUUUAUCCAUUCUAAAUAUAAUAAUUUGCAUCUACUAACCCCAAACUUCUAGUCCAUGUCACUCCCUCCCUCCUUCCCCUUGGCAGCCACAAGUCUAUUCUCUAUUCUCUGUUUUAUAGACAGGUUCAUUUGUGCCGUAUUUUAGAUUCCACAUAUAAACAAUAUCAUUAGCAUUUUUCCUUUUCUUUCUGACUUACUUCACUUAGUAUGAUAAUCUCUAGUUGCAUCCAUGUUGCUGUGAAUGGCAUUAUUUUUUUUCCUUUUUAUGGCUGAGUAGUCAUGGCUAUUUUUAUUACUUUAAAAAAUUUUUAACUGGAGUUGUAAGUGAAUUAUGCACUGCUAUUACCAUUUUGCAGAAUCUAACUGUGACUAUAUAUUUACCAUUACCAGUGAGUUUUACACUACUUUUUUUAAUGUUUUUAUAAUAUUAGUUAUCAUUAUUUUAGUUCUACUCAAAGAACUCUUUAACAUUUCCCAUAAGGCGGGUCUGGUGGUAAUGAACUUCUCAGCUUUUGUCUGUUUCGGAAAGUCUGUAUCCCUCCUUUGUUCCUGAAGCAACUUUUUGUUUGUUUGUUUUUUGUUUUUUUGCCUUUUCUGGGUCCACUCCCUUGGCACAUGGAGGUUCCCAGGCUAGGGGACUAAUCGGAGCUUAGCCACUGGCCUAUGCCAGAGCCACAGCAACGCGGGAUCCGAGCUGUGUCUGCAACCUACACCACAGCUCACGGCAACGCUGGAUCCUUAACCCACUGAGCAAGGCCAGGGAUCGAACCCGCAACCUCAUGGUUCCUAGUUGGAUUCAUUAACCACUGUGCCACAACAGGAACUCCUUUACCUGAUUUUCAUAAUCCUUGAUUCUUUAUGUUGGCAUUUGCACAUUUGAGAAAUAGGGUUUCUCUUCCAGAUUUUACAGGUUUUCUUUGGGGGAAACAGUUGUUCACCAGUCAGUUUAGUUGGGUUUCUGGGUGUGUCUGCUGGUAAUGUCCUUCAGCAGGUGGGGCCUGGAAUUAUGGUUUAUUUUAGGGCAAGGCAACUGUUUAAGCUGUGAGGACAUGGGUGGAGAGCAUGUCCCACUGGCUGAGAACAGUUGGAUAGGACUGCUGGCAUUGUUCCCUACCCACAUGAGGCUCUAGGAUGGGGUCCAUGGUUGCCUCCCCAUGGUUCUCUGAUCGGGACUGGGUGCUAUAUUCAGUAGUAGAUCGGACUAUGAAUUAGCAUCCCUGCCCUGGCAGGGCAGUGAGACAGGACCCCUGCUUGUACAUUUGCUAUUUGGGGACCUGAAUCAGGACAGACUAUGCGCUGGAUUCCCUGGCCAAGUGGGGCCACCAGUUUUACUCUGCAAAAGGGAAAAGCCAGAGGCUGUGCUCUCUGUUCACGUACCACUGUUGAAUGGGCACAUUUCCCAUAUAUUCUGGUUAGGUUCCUGGUCAGACAGGCUGACAGCUGUGUUCUGCGAUGAGCAGAACUACAAAUUAGAUUUCCUGCCCAGGCACAGUGGGAGAAACAGUUCUAAAGCUGGUAAAAUUCUAUGUUUGUUCUCUUAACUCAAGCUGAUCCGCACCCCAAGUUCCUUGACUGAAUAAGGCCACUGGCUAUGUUCUGCAAACUGUCAAGUCUGCCCAUCAGCCUCUCUGUUUAAGUAGGGCUGUGCUAGUUUCCAGGAGUUUCGUAUAGCCCUUCUGGUCAGAUAAGGCUGAAAGGCACUCUCCACAGUGGGUGGAGUUAUGUAAUAGCUUCCUUCCCUUGACAAGAGGGAGAGAGACUGCUCUAGGUAAUUUUCAACUUCCCUCUCUUCGGGGAAGGGCUGGGAGGUACCAGCAUCCUUGGCUGUCAGUUAAUUCUCUUGCUUGUGUGUAGCAUGGAACAUUCCAUGUUCCCUACUGGCUUUGCUCUGGGAGCAAUAACCUCUGCCUGCCCACCUCUUGGCUUGAGCACUGCUGGGCCACUUUGCUUUCAAGAGUUGUUGCCAGCCAUUCUGGUCAGAUGGGGCCAGAAGACACUCCUCUACAGCAGUGGGGCCAGGGGUAGGACUGUGAUUCAGCUGCUUACCUGGGCAUACCAGGGUCUAGGGCCAGCAAAACUCCUUGUUUGAAGACUAUAUCAGACAGAUCUGCACUACGCCGAGUUCCCUAGUGAGAGGGUGCCACCCAUGUCAGUUCUGCAGAUGAUCAAAGCUCUAGUUGGGAUUACUAUCUGGGCACUGCACAGUAUAAACUCAAUCUACCCAGAUCCAUUUGCUGGUUGUUGCAAGCCCCUCCCCUCUUCUCUUCACAGUCAGAUGUCCUGUAGUUCUAGGGAAUGAGAGAACAGGGGUUCCCACAGAGCAACCCACAAUGCUGGGGGAUCAUGGUUGCUCUCUCUGGAUUUCUCUUUUCCCAAUGAGAAAACCAGAGGCUCAGGGGAGACCUUUGUUCAUGGUGCUGGUGCUGGUCUGGAGGAGGAGGUGUGCAGUGCAGCUAAGAUGUAGCUGUUUCUCCUACCUUCUAAUGACAUCUACUGUGUUGCAGGAGGUGCUUUAGCCUUACCCCUGUGUUCUGGGAUUCUCUCAGUUGUGUCUUGUUUUGGAAAAGUUGUUAGUUGUUCCUCUCAUGAUAGAGAGCAAGUCACAAACAACCUGUGUCACCAUCUUGGUGACCAUAUUUCACAGUAUCUAAACAUUAACAAUGAAAGUUAGAGGAGUUCUUAUUGUGGUACAGUGGAAAGGAACCUGACUAGCAUCCAGAAGGACCUGGGUUCGAUCCCUGGCCUCGCUCAGUGGGUUAAGGAUCUGGCAUUGUGGUGAGCUGUGGUGAGGCUCGGAUCUGGCAUUGCUGUGGCUGUGGCAUAGGCCGACAGCUGCAGCUCCAGUUGGACCCCUAGCCUGGGGAUUUCCAUAUGCUGCAGGUGUGUCCCUAAAAAGAAAAAAAAAGAAAGAAAGAAAGAAAAAAGUUAGAGUCCUGUCAAUAUUCAAAUACCUCCCUUGUGUCCAAGGCUUGGCUUUGUUCUGAAUCCUAUCCCUUCUCACAUUCCCAUAAUCCUUUCAGAAUACUUAAUUCCCUGUCUUUCAGACUUUCAGCUUCCCUCUAUCCUUUCCAUCAGCAUUUAAAUGUACACUAAGCUCCCUCCCAUCUUAAAAACAACAGACAAUAACCUAUUGCUCUAACCUCAUCCCCUCCUACUGACCUCUCUCCUCACUUUCACAGCUAAACACCCAAAAGGAAUUAUCUGACCUCAUCACCUCCCUUUCUUUACCCCCUACUACUCCUCUAUUCUCUCCAGUUGGGCUUCUGCCUUCAUUACUUACUCCAUCAAAACAAGUAUCCUACUAGCCCUCAUGAUUCAGUGUAGCUAGCUCAAUGGACCUUUCAUCUGCCCAUCUUGGAUCAUUUGACAUUAUUGAUCCACCGUCACCUCUCUGAAACAAUUGCUCUCUCUCUCUGGCACGAUCUCCUAGAUUUCCUCCUGCUUAUCAGGUUGCCCUUUCUCAUUUUCCUUUGCUGAUCUAUUCUCCUCUAGCUAUUAAAUCUUAUAGUUCUGGGUUCUAGCUUUUCUUUUAUUUUCACUUUAUAUUCUGUCUCCAGCUGAGUCCAGCUGGAAUUGGUUUCAGUUACUAUUUAUUUGCUGUAGUCUUUCAAACAUGCAUAUCCACAUGUCUCCUUGGAACUCUUAGAUGUAUGUGUAUUUGUAUAUAUGCAUACACACAUUUUUCUGCCCAACAACAUCAUCUGGGCAUCUCAAAAAUUGGUCAAACAACCUUUCCAAAAUUAUGAUCUUCCACUAUGAAUAUGGUCCUGAUCAGGUGUUUCGCAUCUCUGGGAAAAACAUCAGAAAUAUAGAUGGUGGGCUUGAUACAUUCCUACCUGCUGAAUCCCCUUUGUGAGUGUUCUUCCACAUUUAAGAAAAGUCAUUCUAAGGCCCUGCAUGAUCCAGCCUCUCCCUACUUUUUCAAGCAUCUUGAAUCUCUUGCUCCCAACUGUGUAUCCGUGGGCACACUGGAAAACCUUUAAGUUCCUCAAAUUUAUCCUUUGCCCAGCAGGGUCCUUGUUUGUGUUAGUACAGCUCUUUGGAGCAUUUUUCCUUCCUCUUUAUCUAAUUCAUCCCUCUCCUGUUUUUUGCUCAAAUGUUAUUUCAUCAAGUGAGUCUUUCAUGAUCCUCUAGGCUUUAUCACAUAGUUUCCUAUUGUAUUAUUUAUCUAAUGCUGGGUACAGAUCUCUCUAAAACAAUGUAUUAAAACAGUAAUAAUCAUUUAUUUCAUGCUUUCUCUGGGCCAGAUACUUGGGAAUGGCUUGUGAUCUGUCAUGAGAUUGUAGUCAGAUGUGAGUUAGGAAUGCAGUUAUCUGAAGGUUUGCUGGGAUUAGAGUUUCCACUUUAGAUUGUUCACUCAUGUGGCUGCCAAAUUGGUGUUGGCUCUUGGCAAACAGACUCACUUUCUCUUUACAUGGAUCUCUUCGUAUUUCUUGGGUUUCCUCACAAGAUGGUGGCUUGAACUCAGAGGUAGGUAUUGAGAAGAAGACAGGGAGAGAAGAAGAAAGAGGGAAUUGAAGAGGAGGAGGGAUUAAAGGAGUGAGAGAAAGAGAGAGGGAGGGAGCUUGUGCAAGCAAAAAGCUGCUUUUUAUGACUAACUUCGGAAGCCACACAAUAUCGCUUCUGCCAUGUUCUGUUUGUUGGAAGUGAGUCACCGUGAUUGGCCCAUAUCCAAUGAGAGGAGAAUUAGAUUCUCCAUUGGGAGGGAAAAU
This 4834-nucleotide long non-coding RNA is filed under the name Sus scrofa (pig). RNAcentral's name for it is "lncRNA (ENSSSCG00000052300.1)". The record is from RNAcentral. Lineage: Eukaryota; Metazoa; Chordata; Mammalia; Artiodactyla; Suidae.